This 460-nucleotide ribosomal RNA is filed under the name uncultured bacterium. RNAcentral describes it as "partial 16S ribosomal RNA". It matches the Rfam family "Bacterial small subunit ribosomal RNA", at positions 338 to 795 of the family's 1533-position model. The record is from RNAcentral.
CCUACGGGAGGCAGCAGUGAGGAAUAUUGGUCAAUGGGCGGAAGCCUGAACCAGCCAAGUCGCGUGAGGGAAUAAGGCCCUACGGGUCGUCAACCUCUUUUGCCGGGGAGCAAGGGCGGGGACGUGUCCCGGCCCGGAGAGUACCCGGAGAAAAAGCAUCGGCUAACUCCGUGCCAGCAGCCGCGGUAAUACGGAGGAUGCGAGGGUUAUCCGGAUUUAGUGGGUUUAAAGGGUGCUUAGGCGGGCGUUUAAGUCAGCGGUAAAAUAGCGGGGCGCAAACCCGUCCGGCCGUUGAAACUGGGGGCCGUGAGUGGGCGAGAAGAAGGCGGAAUGCGUGGUGUAGCGGUGAAAUGCAUAGAUAUCACGCAGAACCCCGAUUGCGAAGGCAGCCUUCCGGCGCCCUACUGACGCUGAGGCACGAAAGUGCGGGGAUCGAACAGGAUUAGAUACCCCGGUAGUC